This 231-nucleotide long non-coding RNA is filed under the name Mytilus galloprovincialis (Mediterranean mussel). The record is from RNAcentral. Lineage: Eukaryota; Metazoa; Mollusca; Bivalvia; Mytilida; Mytilidae.
GUUUUAGAAAUUUAAAUGUGACGUCACUUUGGGCGUUGCAUUGACUAUGGCUAACAGGGCUGUGAUUUUGUAAUGUAUUCGUUUUUAUUCUAUAGCUAGUCACCACUUCAGUUUAAUCAAGUAUAUCUAUUAUAUAGUCAUUUUAUAAAAUUUACUGUUUGCAAAACUAUGUAUUAUUCUUGAUAAUAAUGAUGUUUUUGUCCCAGGCGGAUAACACUGGCCUCACAACUU